UAGUCCACGCUGUAAACGAUGAGUACUAGCUGUUGGAGUCGGUGUAAAGGCUCUAGUGGCGCAGCUAACGCGAUAAGUACUCCGCCUGGGGACUACGGCCGCAAGGCUAAAACUCAAAGGAAUUGACGGGGACCCGCACAAGCGGUGGAGCAUGUGGUUUAAUUCGAUGCAACGCGAAGAACCUUACCUGGUCUUGACAUCCUGCGAACUUUCUAGAGAUAGAUUGGUGCCUUCGGGAACGCAGUGACAGGUGCUGCACGGCUGUCGUCAGCUCGUGUUGUGAAAUGUUGGGUUAAGUCCCGCAACGAGCGCAACCCCUAUUGAUAGUUACCAUCAUUAAGUUGGGUACUCUAUUAAGACUGCCGCUGACAAGGCGGAGGAAGGUGGGGACGACGUCAAGUCAUCAUGGCCCUUACGACCAGGGCUACACACGUGCUACAAUGGGUAUUACAGAGGGCUGCGAAGGUGCGAGCUGGAGCGAAACUCAAAAAGGUACUCUUAGUCCGGAUUGCAGUCUGCAACUCGACUGCAUGAAGUCGGAAUCGCUAGUAAUCGCAGGUCAGAAUACUGCGGUGAAUACGUUCCCGGGUCUUGUACACACCGCCCGUCACACCAUGGGAGUGGGUUGCUCCAGAAGUAGAUAGCUUAACGAAUGGGCGUUUACCACGGAGUGAUUCAUGACUGGGGUGAAGUCGUAACAAGGUAGCCGUAGGGGAACCUGCGGCUGGAUCACCUCCUUAA
This 741-nucleotide ribosomal RNA is filed under the name Francisella tularensis. Its description in RNAcentral is "bacterial SSU rRNA". It matches the Rfam family "Bacterial small subunit ribosomal RNA", at positions 791 to 1533 of the family's 1533-position model. Lineage: Bacteria; Pseudomonadati; Pseudomonadota; Gammaproteobacteria; Thiotrichales; Francisellaceae. The record is from RNAcentral.